AUACGUAGGGUGCAAGCGUUAAUCGGAAUUACUGGGCGUAAAGCGUGCGCAGGCGGUUUUGUAAGACAGUGGUGAAAUCCCCGGGCUCAACCUGGGAACUGCCAUUGUGACUGCAAGGCUGGAGUGCGGCAGAGGGGGAUGGAAUUCCGCGUGUAGCAGUGAAAUGCGUAGAUAUGCGGAGGAAAACCGAUGGCGAAGGCAAUCCCCUGGGCCUGCACUGACGCUCAUGCACGAAAGCGUGGGGAGCAAACAGGAUUAGAUACCCUGGUAGUCCACGCCCUAAACGAUGUCAACUGGUUGUUGGGGAUUUAUUUUCUCAGUAACGAAGCUAACGCGUGAAGUUGACCGCCUGGGGAGUACGGCCGCAAGGUUAAAACUCAAAGGAAUUGGCGGGG
This 395-nucleotide ribosomal RNA is filed under the name uncultured bacterium. RNAcentral describes it as "partial 16S ribosomal RNA". It matches the Rfam family "Bacterial small subunit ribosomal RNA", at positions 523 to 918 of the family's 1533-position model. The record is from RNAcentral.